CACUGGCAACGACACAAUCUCCUCUGCCUUCUUGCUGCUUCGUGUCCUGAACGUGGGAAGGAAGAGGCCUGCAAGCCUGUCAGAGCGAGAAAGCUCUUUUUGCCCACUCCCAGCAUGGCCUUCAAGAAGAAGCAGGUCUGACAGAGAGGUCUAUCCACCUCCGUCCCCCAGGCGUUCUGCGGCGGGCGCAGCUAGACACCCGGGCAGCAGCUAUUGAUCCGAAAGAGCUCGUCUGAAGUGUUCAUGUGCAGGGGUCUAGACCUCCAUACAAUCGUGCAUAUGGUCAACGUGGUCCUUAUACAGGGGGCAGAAUGGUGCUGCUGGCUCUUUUAUGACACAGACAUCAACUGCUACAUCGGCUGUCAUCCAACAAGACCAUAUGGGCAGAUUUUUGUCAGAGGAACCACGCUCCGUGGGGGGAGAGCCGUAACCCCCAUCCACAGCAGAAUGAUCAGGGCAGCUUAGCACCACACCCAACAGAUUUGGUCUUUGCUGAUGUCACAGACGACUCAUUUCCUAUGCAGCAUCAGAGGGGGGGAAACAGAUCUCACCUAAUCCAACAACAAUAAAGACCUGCUGGAAUAAAACAGCAGGAAGGACGAGACGUGCAAGAGCCAGCGCAUGUCCCACAGCAGCCCAGGUCUUCAUUCUUCCCGUCCUUGAG
Molecule: non-coding RNA, 664 nt
Organism: Pelodiscus sinensis (Chinese soft-shelled turtle)
Lineage: Eukaryota; Metazoa; Chordata; Testudines; Trionychidae
Source: RefSeq, a predicted model, not a curated record